GAUGAACGCUGGCGGCGUGCCUAAUACAUGCAAGUCGAGCGAACAGAUGAGGAGCUUGCUCCUCUGACGUUAGCGGCGGACGGGUGAGUAACACGUGGAUAACCUACCUAUAAGACUGGGAUAACUUCGGGAAACCGGAGCUAAUACCGGAUAAUAUAUUGAACCGCAUGGUUCAAUAGUGAAAGACGGUUUUGCUGUCACUUAUAGAUGGAUCCGCGCCGCAUUAGCUAGUUGGUACGGUAACGGCUUACCAAGGCAACGAUGCGUAGCCGACCUGAGAGGGUGAUCGGCCACACUGGAACUGAGACACGGUCCAGACUCCUACGGGAGGCAGCAGUAGGGAAUCUUACGCAAUGGGCGAAAGCUUGACGGAGCAACGCCGCGUGAGUUAUGAAGGUCUUCGGAGCGUAAAACUGUGUUAUUAGGGAAGAACCAAUGUGUAAGUAACUAUGCACGUCUUGACGGUAACUAAUCAGAAAGCAACGGCUAACUACGUG
This 497-nucleotide ribosomal RNA is filed under the name uncultured bacterium. RNAcentral's name for it is "partial 16S ribosomal RNA". It matches the Rfam family "Bacterial small subunit ribosomal RNA", at positions 28 to 507 of the family's 1533-position model. The record is from RNAcentral.